GUACGAAGGGGGCUAGGCGUUGAUUCGGAAUUACUGGGCGUAAAGCGCACGUAGGCGGACAUUUAAGUCAGUGGUGAAAUCAUCCGGGCUUAACCCGGAACUGCCGUUGAUACUAUCUGAUCUUGAAUAUAGUGGAGGUGAGCGGAAUAUGUCAUGUAGCGGUGAAAUGCUUAGAUAUGACAUAGAACACCAAUUGCGAAAGGCAGCUCACUACACGGGUCAUUGACACUGAGGCACGAAAGCGUGGGGAUCAAACAGG
RNAcentral lists this ribosomal RNA (259 nucleotides) under uncultured bacterium. RNAcentral's name for it is "partial 16S ribosomal RNA". It matches the Rfam family "Bacterial small subunit ribosomal RNA", at positions 523 to 776 of the family's 1533-position model. The record is from RNAcentral.